AAAUUUGCAAAAUCUACAUCAACUGCAUCGGAUACCAGUCUUUCGAAUAUCAAGAAGUCAAUGAUCAGUUGCGCCAUCCAAACACCCUCUAGAACUGAAGAUUUUUCAAGCCGAAAUGGAGAAAGCAACUCCAAUGAUUCUCCCUCCACAAAGAGUGGCUCCAAAUCGUCAAGUUCGCCAGUGAUGAACAACACCAUGACACUCUUACUUCCGCAGAAAACACCUCUGCCCUAGAUGGGUCGCCAUCACCGCCAGUGGUUGACAGUUCCAAUCAUGAUGUCAGUAAUGAGUCGGAAAAUAGACGAAGCUUGGACGAGACAUCAGCAUCUAAUUCCUCAAAAAACAAUGAAUCGGAUGGAUCCAUAUCUGUUCCUCAUCCUACUGGUAUCAUCUUACACCGAGUUGGCUACUACACCAUACCAUCAUUGGAAGAACUUACACCGUUGGUUGACGGAGACGGCAGAUGCAUAGUUGAAAAUUUCACUAUCGGUCGAAGAAAUUAUGGAAACAUAUUUAUCCGGACUCAUUUGAUGUCUCUGGUUUAGACAUGAUUCCAUAGGUAAGUGUAAGGAGAGUUGUGUCCUCCAAGAACUGAGCAAAAAAAGG
This 606-nucleotide long non-coding RNA is filed under the name Bemisia tabaci. RNAcentral describes it as "lncRNA ENSSSA2NGG012937". The record is from RNAcentral. Lineage: Eukaryota; Metazoa; Arthropoda; Insecta; Hemiptera; Aleyrodidae.